UGCCCAGGUGAAAGUCAUGC
RNAcentral lists this unclassified non-coding RNA (20 nucleotides) under Mus musculus (house mouse). RNAcentral's name for it is "oocyte_clustered_small_RNA4339". The record is from RNAcentral. Lineage: Eukaryota; Metazoa; Chordata; Mammalia; Rodentia; Muridae.